AUACUGUGGGGAUAAGAUCAAGA
This 23-nucleotide non-coding RNA is filed under the name Cricetulus griseus (Chinese hamster). Lineage: Eukaryota; Metazoa; Chordata; Mammalia; Rodentia; Cricetidae. The record is from RNAcentral.